UUAAAAUGUAAAUAAAUUAUCUAAAUUAUUAAUAGUUAUAUUCUUUAAAUUUAAUGAAUUUGACGGUAUUAUAAUCUAUUUAGAGGAACCUGUAUUUUAAUUGAUAAUCCACGAUAAAUUUUACUUAAUUUUGUAAUCAGUUUGUAUACCGCCGUUAUCAGAAUAUUUUAAAAGAAACUUAAUUUUCUAAAUUUUUUUUAUUAAAAUAAUUUCAGGUCAAGGUGCAGCUAAUAAUUAAGUUAAUAUGGGUUACAAUAAAAUUAUUUAUAUGAAUUUAAUUUUUUAAAUAAAAUUAUUAAAGUGGAUUUAAAAGUAAAUUAAAUUAUUUCAUUUAAUUGAAUUUAGCUCUAUAAUAUGU
RNAcentral lists this ribosomal RNA (358 nucleotides) under Onycholyda amplecta. RNAcentral describes it as "partial 12S ribosomal RNA". The record is from RNAcentral. Lineage: Eukaryota; Metazoa; Arthropoda; Insecta; Hymenoptera; Pamphiliidae.